This 253-nucleotide ribosomal RNA is filed under the name uncultured bacterium. RNAcentral's name for it is "partial 16S ribosomal RNA". It matches the Rfam family "Bacterial small subunit ribosomal RNA", at positions 524 to 776 of the family's 1533-position model. The record is from RNAcentral.
CACGUAGGGUCCGAGCGUUGUCCGGAAUUACUGGGCGUAAAGAGCUCGUAGGUGGUUUGUCGCGUUGUUCGUGAAAACUCACAGCUCAACUGUGGGCGUGCGGGCGAUACGGGCAGACUUGAGUACUGCAGGGGAGACUGGAAUUCCUGGUGUAGCGGUGGAAUGCGCAGAUAUCAGGAGGAACACCGGUGGCGAAGGCGGGUCUCUGGGCAGUAACUGACGCUGAGGAGCGAAAGCAUGGGGAGCGAACAGG